This 46-nucleotide non-coding RNA is filed under the name Schistosoma mansoni. The record is from RNAcentral. Lineage: Eukaryota; Metazoa; Platyhelminthes; Trematoda; Strigeidida; Schistosomatidae.
GCACUGCCGAGGAGUCCCACAAUAGGACGUAACGACCGUCCAGUGC